GAUGGACGCUGGCGGCGUGCCUAAUACAUGCAAGUCGAGCGAACGGACGAGAAGCUUGCUUCUCUGAUGUUAGCGGCGGACGGGUGAGUAACACGUGGAUAACCUACCUAUAAGACUGGGGUAACUUCGGGAAACCGGAGCUAAUACCGGAUAAUAUUUUGAACCGCAUGGUUCAAAAGUGAAAGACGGUCUUGCUGUCACUUAUAGAUGGGUCCGCGCUGCAUUAGCUAGUUGGUAAGGUAACGGCUUACCAAGGCAACGAUGCAUAGCCGACCUGAGAGGGUGAUCGGCCACACUGGAACUGAGACACGGUCCAGACUCCUACGGGAGGCAGCAGUAGGGAAUCUUCCGCAAUGGGCGAAAGCCUGACGGAGCAACGCCGCGUGAGUGAUGAAGGUCUUCGGAUCGUAAAACUCUGUUAUUAGGGAAGAACAUAUGUGUAAGUAACUGUGCACAUCUUGACGGUACCUAAUCAGAAAGCCACGGCUAACUACGUG
RNAcentral lists this ribosomal RNA (497 nucleotides) under uncultured bacterium. Its description in RNAcentral is "partial 16S ribosomal RNA". It matches the Rfam family "Bacterial small subunit ribosomal RNA", at positions 28 to 507 of the family's 1533-position model. The record is from RNAcentral.